This 3032-nucleotide long non-coding RNA is filed under the name Piliocolobus tephrosceles (Ugandan red Colobus). RNAcentral describes it as "lncRNA (ENSPTEG00000008160.1)". The record is from RNAcentral. Lineage: Eukaryota; Metazoa; Chordata; Mammalia; Primates; Cercopithecidae.
UUUAUUUAUUUAUUUAUUUAUUUAUUUAUUUAUUUUUUUUAUUUAUUUAUUUAUUAUUUUUUUUUUUUUAAUACUACCAUAUGUAAACAACCAUGUUCAGAUAUUAUAUGCGCGUCAAAAUUUCACUCGAAAAGGAAAUCCUUGCUGACCUUAAAGCAGGAAAUAUUGUUAGUGUGAAAGAAAAAGUGGACAUUUAUUUGAGCAUUUUCAAAACGGAUGAUAAUACAAAUGUACAGGGUAAUGAAGAAGUAAACAUAAAAAACGACGAUGGAUCAAAGAAUAACGUGUUAAAGGAUAAUAAGUCAACCGACAAUAAGUCAAUAGACAAUAAGUCAACAGAUAAUAAGUCAACAGAUAAUGAGUCAACAGAUAAUAAGUCAACAGAUAAUAAGUCAAUAGACAAUAAGUCAAUAGACAACGUGUUAAAUAACGAUCAUAAGGACACAGCCCGUAGUUAUAGUGACAGUAAUGGUAACAGUAAUGGUGAAAAUGGUAAUGACAGUUAUAGUGACAGUGACGGAGAUAGUGGUAAUAAAAAAAAAGAACAGCCUUAAGAAAUAUAAAUGAAUAUACUAGUAACAAUAAUGAUAUAAAUGAAAAGGAUGAUUAUUAUAAAAAAAAAAAAAAAAUGAGAAAAAUGUAAAUAAUGUAAAAAACAUAGCAACAUCUGUUGAACGUGAAAAUAAUUAUAUAGCUCAUGUCAUAAUUUAUUUUGAAGAAUAUACAUUUAUAUGUCAUAUAACUAGUAUGUUGUUAGAACUUGAAUUUAAUAAAUUAAUAGAUCUGUUAGAUAAAAAAGUGAUAAGUAACGAAGAUAAUGCAUAUAUUGAAUGUAUUAAACAUGUUUACAGUUGUUUAUAUAAAUCGAAUAUUUAUUUUGAAAAAUUAAUUAGUUUUGGUAAAGAUUAUAAAAAGAAAUAUACCAAUCUCGUAUAUAUAAUUUAUAAUAGAAAAGUGGAACUUUUAUUUGAUAAAGUUGUUAAUACUAUUAGUAAAUAUUUUUUUGAGCAGGUAAAAUUAUUUAUACAAACUUUUCAUGAUUUAAAAGACUAUGAUAAGAAUAUUGAAAUUUUAUCAUUAUUAUGUUAUAAUAUAUUAAAUAUAAAAAAAUAUAUACAUAUAUAUUCUUCUGACAAAAUGCAACAAAUUGAAUUUAUUUUUAAAAUAAAAAAUCAUCUAAAUAGUAAUAUAUUUUCUAAUAAAACUGGAUUGUAUAAUAAUUUAUCAUAUAUAAUUUUAAUUCAAAACUUUAUAUGUGCAUAUAUAGAUAGUGAAGUUUUGUUUAUUAAACAUUGUAUUGAUAAGGCUUAUAUAUUAACUGAUGAUAUAAUGUUAUCUUUUAUUGAAGAAAGUGAAAUAAAUAAAAAAAAAUAUACAACAUAUAAUGGUAAUAGUAUGAUUAAUACUGUUGGUGUUAGUAGUAGUUCUAUUAAUAUUAGUACAGGUAGUACAAUUAUUAAUAGCAAUAAAAAAAUAAAUAACUUAGAUACAUCUCAAUAUGAUGCAUUUUUAACAAAUAAUAACAAUAAUAGUAAUAAUAAUGAAUAUACAUCGACUUUUUUAGAAGAUUCUUUUUAUAUUUUUCAAAAAAGUGCUUGUAGAAGUAUACAUAUGAAUGAUAUACACACAGUUUGUGUUUUACUAAAUAAUAUAAUGAAUGUUUUUUCAACAACCUUAAUUACGUAUCUAAAAGAUAAUAUUAGUAUUAGUAAAAAUAUAUACAUUUCUUAUAUUCAUAAUAAAAAUAAUUUAACAAAUUUUACUUUUACUACUAUGCUUAAAAAUAUUGACACAAAUAAUUAUAUUACUGGUAAUCAAUUAACGAAAACAUUAACACUUGCUCAUAAUUUAGUAAAUUCUUUGGGUUAUGUAACAAAUGAAACCAAUCCAAAUAAAAGAAGUCCUAACAAUAAUGACAGUAAUAACGUUAGAACUGGUACUACCACUAAUAGUUAUAUAAAUAUGUCUGAAGAUAAAAAGAGUAUAUCAGGUAAUACUGCCACUACUACUACUACUGCUGCUGCUGCUGCUAGUAGUAGUACUACUACUACCACUGCUACUACUGCUACUACUGCUACUACAGCUACUACAGCUACUACAGCUACUACAGCUACUACAGAUACUACAGCUACUACAGCUACUACAGCUACUACUGCUACUACUAACACUCAGAACCAAUCAAAAAAAUCUAUUUACGAUUAUAUAACACCCGAUGAUUAUAAUAAUAUAUUUAAUCCAUUAUUAAAUAAAGACAAUUUAAAAAAAUAUAUUAUUAAUUCUAAGUUUAGUUAUCCACAUUGUAUUAAUAAUAUUGACUCUUGUUAUCAAUAUAUACAAAAAUUUAAAACCUUUACAUAUGAUUAUUUUAAUCAAAAUUUUUUAAAAAAUAAUACAGAUAAAAAACAAGUAAAUAAUUAUUUACUUAUGUUUAAUAAUGCAUUAACUGACUAUGACAAUAUAUUAAUUGAAUAUAAUAAUUUGAAUAUAGAAAAUUGUAAACUUUUAUUAAAUAUAUUAAAAAUGCAUUUUAUAAACGAACUUGUAGUUAUAGAAAAUAUUAAUUUUGAUAUUACUAAUGAACAAUAUACAUACUACCAAUUUAAUGAUCCCUAUAUUAAUAACUUAUUAGAUAAAUUAAAAUUAAUACUUUAUCAUAUUAAACUAUAUUUUAAUAAUAAUAUAUUCCAUAUAUCGAUUAACUUGUUGACACAGAAGAUUUGUAAAUACAUAGAACGAAUAAUUAGGAAAAAAAAAUUCAGUUUAUAUGGAUGUGUUCAAAUAGAUAACGACAUAAGAAACUUAAUGUUAUUUUUUACAUCUGUAACAAAUAUUAAUAUUAAAAAAGAGUUUAAUAAAUUACUCGAAAUAUGUGAACUAUUAAACAUUAACGAUAUACAAGAUUUUAGGUACUAUUAUGAUGAAAAUAAACAUAACCUUAACAAAGAGGACAUUGAAGAUAUUAUUUUACUAAGAAAUGAUUUUGAUGAAAUGUUAAUAAAAAAUAUUAAAGCAUACAUUCAAAUAAAAGAGUA